This 70-nucleotide transfer RNA is filed under the name Goniurosaurus kuroiwae (Tokashiki gecko). RNAcentral describes it as "tRNA-Met". RNAcentral also lists the same sequence under 1 other name. Lineage: Eukaryota; Metazoa; Chordata; Lepidosauria; Squamata; Eublepharidae. The record is from RNAcentral.
AGUAAAGUCAGCUAACAAAGCUUUCGGGCCCAUACCCCGACAAUGUAGGUAUAAAACCCCUCCUAUACUA